Molecule: ribosomal RNA, 31 nt
Filed under: Rhizophagus intraradices
Lineage: Eukaryota; Fungi; Glomeromycota; Glomeromycetes; Glomerales; Glomeraceae
Also listed under: 1 other name
Description: partial 18S ribosomal RNA
Source: RNAcentral
UCCGUAGGUGAACCUGCGGAAGGAUCCAUUA